This 497-nucleotide ribosomal RNA is filed under the name uncultured bacterium. RNAcentral describes it as "partial 16S ribosomal RNA". It matches the Rfam family "Bacterial small subunit ribosomal RNA", at positions 28 to 507 of the family's 1533-position model. The record is from RNAcentral.
GACGAACGCUGGCGGCGUGCCUAAUACAUGCAAGUUGAGCGAUGAAGCUUGGUGCUUGCACCAAUUUGAAGAGCAGCGAACGGGUGAGUAACGCGUGGGGAAUCUGCCUUUGAGCGGGGGACAACAUUUGGAAACGAAUGCUAAUACCGCAUAACAACUUUAAACAUAAGUUUUAAGUUUGAAAGAUGCAAUUGCAUCACUCAAAGAUGAUCCCGCGUUGUAUUAGCUAGUUGGUGAGGUAAAGGCUCACCAAGGCGAUGAUACAUAGCCGACCUGAGAGGGUGAUCGGCCACAUUGGGACUGAGACACGGCCCAAACGCCUACGGGAGGCAGCAGUAGGGAAUCUUCGGCAAUGGACGAAAGUCUGACCGAGCAACGCCGCGUGAGUGAAGAAGGUUGUCGGAUCGUAAAACUCUGUUGGUAGAGAAGAACGUUGGUGAGAGUGGAAAGCUCAUCAAGUGACGGUAACUACCCAGAAAGGGACGGCUAACUACGUG